This is a long non-coding RNA of Panicum virgatum (switchgrass), 4307 nucleotides long. RefSeq lists it as uncharacterized. Lineage: Eukaryota; Viridiplantae; Streptophyta; Magnoliopsida; Poales; Poaceae. The record is from RefSeq and is a predicted model, not a curated record. The transcript has 2 exons.
GAAGAUUCCAGAAGGACACGUGGCAACAUCAGAGUAAUGGCGUCGGGUCGAAGCAAAUAUCUCCAAGUUGUCGCAGCCGUUAGAUGGUCUUCAAUGUAUCUUUUCCGGUUUUGCCCCUACGGGCCUUCUAGUUUAUUUUAUAACCUUAGGGGUAGUUUAGUCUUUUCGCGUUUAGAGUUAGUGGGAGAUAUUUAGUUAGUGGACAGCCCACCCUCUCUCUCUCUCAUUUUUGCCCAGACGAGAGCAACUCCCUGGUGCCUGCCUCUUCCUUCUCUGUUCCUCCCUCUUCCUCUCUCUCGGGUAGAAUUUCAUCCAUGGAUUCUUGAGAUUUUGUACUAAGAUUGAUCGGGAAAGGAGGCCCUCUCCUCCUUGUUCCCUCGGGGCUUUUGAAUUUGAAUCAAUCUUAUACUUUGAAUGUCUUUUGUGUGAUGAAUUUUGGUUCUCUCGUUUUGUUCUUUGUGCAUGAGAUUGAGGGUGGUUUCUAGAUGAUUUUGUGAUUCCUUGGGGUGCUUCUAAUCCAUCUAGCCUAGUGCUAAAUUCCUGCUUUUAAUCCAUCUAGCCUAGUGCUAAAUUCCCCGGAAUCACUAGUUCCUUCUAUUGGAGAUUUUCGCGUUCUUGAGAAAACCCCGUUCUUGCUUGGGAAUUCCUCGAUUCCUCCCAAACCAUGAAGUGAUUCGUCGAUUCCUUUGGUGGGUAUGUUCACAAGGUCUUUGUGAUCGUGCCUGCAAAAUUUGGUGAGGUUUGGACUUGUUUUGAUCCUCCAAUCGUCAAGUCUUGGAUCGAACCGAGAGCAAAAACAGAGUUUCUGCGUCGGGCAGAAUUUUUCCUUAUCACCGGUUGAACCGGCGUUAGCCAAUGAUCAACCGGUGAUCAGGGUUUUCUCAGCGUGACAGGGUUUCUUGUGUGUGCACUGGUUGAUUUCUUGAAUCUUCGUUUUUCACUGCGUCGGAUCAACUGGUGCUAAUGUUUUUGCGUACACCGGUGCAUUGAGCUUCUGUCUUUUGAUCGUCGGAUCAACCAGUGCUUGUUGUGUUGUUUUGGGGUCUCUCUGGACAACUGCACCAGCGAUGGGGUUUGAUUUUGUCGGUUUAACCGGUGUUCGUUGAGUCAUUUUUAGGUCUCUCUGGACAACUGCACCGGCGUUUGGGUUGGAUUUUGUCGGUUUAACCGGUGCGUUGUUUUUCUCGUGCUGACUAUUUAGUCUCACCGGUUGAACCGACGUGGACAAGAUUAGUCGCGUCGGAUCAACCGGUGAAACGUACUGUGUUGUUCUUCUGUGCUGCCAGCUUUGUCUCACUGGUUGAACCGACGUUAACAAAUGUAUCUUCGUCGGAUCAACCAGUGAUAUAUACUGUGCUUCCGCGAUAAUUUUUGAGUUUGAAUUUGCUCUCAUUCACCCCCCUCUGGUCGCAUUCUCGGUCCUUCAUUUACCUUCACACUGUCAGAAAUUUGUUGCAGUAAAUUAUUUCAGUCCAUGUUGCUGUAGUUUUUAUAAGAUAUGUUGGUGGAAAGCUGGAGCCCCUGUAAGUUGCGAUAAGGUUCGUCUGCACUUUUUCUUCUCUUCCUUCGCUUCCUGCAUUUUAUAUGAUAAUAUGGCAGGUACCAGUAGUGAAGCGUUCUGAACCUGAAUUCCUCCUGGCCAUAAGAUUCAGAGAUGCCUAACAGAUCAGAUUUGGAUUGGGCCACAACUGUUGUAAGGAGCUUGAUUCGCUGCAAGUUUCGUCGAUGGAAAGCACCAUAUAGAACAAUAGUUCAUUAAAAUGGAUGGAGACAUUUUAUAGCUGCAUCUUGGUUACUACUUUUCACUAUCACUUUCUGAGUAUUUGGCAUCUUGCAGCAAGUAAACACGGAAACAGAGAAACAUCAGAUAAAAUGGAGAACCUGAAAUUUCCAUGCUUCCUAGGAUGUAGUUCGAGGUGAUAGGUAAACUUGGAUAGUCAUUUGGGUGAACUUUUCGAAAAAAUAUGUUCUGAUGUAGUUCGAGGUCAAAACUUUACAGGGUUAUUCCCAGUUACAAAGAUCAAUGGCUGACUUAUUAGGAUGACAAAAAAUGAACAAUGUACGGUCCAAAGGAUGAUAUGAUUUGAUGGUUGUCAAGACUCGACCACGGUUUUCCAGGUUAGUUAGCAUUUGGCAUAGCAAGAUGCCUCUGCAUAAAUAAAGAAGGAGGAGCCAGAUCGAGAGUUGGUAUAGUGUACUGCUGUUGAGGGGUUGCUUUCAGCACUCUUAUUCUCUUUUUGAUUGCCACCAAGCCUGAAGCUCCCUCUCAAUGCAAUUCAUACCAGUGCUACCUUUAAUUUCUUUUCAUAAUAUACAUAUCGAGAUGUGGCCUUGUUUUUGGCAGUGGCAGUAAUUUCUGAUACAUGAUCAUGCACGUUGUCUCCAAAUUUUACAUGGCAAGUACAUGCUUAAGGUUCUAUUGGAGUCUGGUAAGCCCUGGAAUUACAUCCAUAGUUUAUUUGUAACUAAAACAAACUACAAAUUUCUUUUUUUAAAAUGCUAAUUUCAUUUCUGUUUGACAGUUUCAGUAAUUAUUAUUACCCUUAUAUUCUAGAGAGAGAAAAGUCAUUUUUUGUAUAUGAUUGGCCAUAGGCUGAACUCGCGUACAAGCUUAUGAGUGAUGGUAUAGGCAUGAAUUGAUGCUUCUUGAUCAAGCAAGAAACAUGGACUUUUGGUUGCCUAACACAUGACCUGACGCUGUCAAUCAACAUAUGUCCCUUAACGUGUUAAUCCAAAUAAGUUGAGAUGUCCUUCACAAUCUUAUCCAAUCAACUACCCAACUGAAUUAACAGUUUGAUGGAUGCUUCUCUAUAAUGUGCAGCAUAUAUUGGGUCGUUUUUUCUCUCUCUUGAAAUGGUGCAUAUAUUGUACCUCAAUCAGUUAUGGAAUCUGUUAAAAACAGCUGAUGCAGUUUCUGUUGAGAUUGUGUCUAUUCUGGCCAUUGUAAAUUUCUUGUGAGAGACGAGUGAAUGCCAACUUCGAAAAAAAAGUUUUUGAUCGAAAUGUCUGCAUCAAGGGAAAUGCUUUUUUCAAAGUUAUAGUAUCAGUACGGCUGUAGGCUACCUGUUAUCGCCCCAGGGCUAGGAACAUGCGCGAUAGAAAAAAUUAUACACAUCACACCAUCAUCAUUGAAAAGGAAACUUCUUUAUGUGGUCCCAUGCCCUUCCCUGAACAUAAUGCUUGUGUUUCAAGCGUGCCUUUUGCUACUCUCAGCUCGUGUCACCAGUUCAAAUCUGGUUCUUGUCAGUUCAUCUUUUCCUUCAUAUCCCAAGCCUAAUUUCAAGUCCCUUCCUCUCUUAAACAGAAAUCCUUCUUAUCUUCUUUGUUUUUACAAUAGCAUUACUAUCUUGAGUAGUAUUCCUUUUACAAUGGCAUUCCUUCAUAUUUUGAGCCUAAUUUUCUCGAUCAUGGAAGAUGCAUUAACUUCAACAAAAAAAUGUCACAUUAGAGAAACGGGAGCAAAAUUCCUGUGAACUGUAACACUAUGGAUUAGAUCUAACCACAGUGCCACAUUGCUUAGACAUGUGUAUGCAGGUGAUGAGCGAUGAGUUGUUGUUGGCCUGGGCGUGCGCAGCCAAACUGAGGGAUCUCACGGUAGUCAAUUGCUGUGCUGGUAUUGUCUGUCUUUGGGUCCUAGGCCAGUUUCCAAACAUGGCGGCCUGGGACGGCAGAACCCCACAUGGAACCAGCUGCACAUGAAAGGUAACACAAGGGAAGAUUUUUCUAUGCGUCAUGCGCAUGGUUUUGCUUCCAAAUAUUGGAUUCAGUUUCUAUACAGCAUGUGCAGUGCUGUACUUCCCUUGAGCAUUUCACAUUUUGGAGGCAGUGUUCAUCUUCUUUGUUUCCGGGGAAGUGUUUCUAAUUUCAACUUUGAUCCAAUCUUUGAUUUGGCAUGUGCUAUGAGUCGAUUGAACAUUUCUUAUUUUUUUGAAGAUAAUGUUCUUUUAUAUCCACAUGUACUGCACAACAGUUGAUCCAAUCUUGAUGCUGCACAUGGUACAUCUCUUAGACACGGAUGUUUGUUGCCGCGCGCAUUGGCCACAUCUUUGAAGUACUUCUCAAUCUCAGGCAACAAUUCCUGUUUCAUCUCUUUCACUGCAUUGGAAAGCAAUGUCGCAUACAGCGAGACCGGGACCUUUGCUUGCUUCAACAAUGCUACCCUGUUCUGUAGUCAUAAGUUCAUGACUCAUGAAAGGUGUGUUUGUACACUCCAAAUAUUGUUAGUUCCUUCAAAGGAUGCGAAAGACAUGACCAUGAUAUCUAAAUAGUCAGCAUUGGUUCCUGUUGACGAAAAUGCUUCAUUUAUA